This 690-nucleotide ribosomal RNA is filed under the name uncultured Acidobacteriota bacterium. RNAcentral describes it as "bacterial SSU rRNA". It matches the Rfam family "Bacterial small subunit ribosomal RNA", at positions 15 to 684 of the family's 1533-position model. Lineage: Bacteria; Pseudomonadati; Acidobacteriota. The record is from RNAcentral.
GAUCCUGGCUCAGAAUCAACGCUGGCGGCGUGCCUAACACAUGCAAGUCGAACGCGAAAGGGGCUUCGGCCCUGAGUAGAGUGGCGAACGGGUGAGUAACACGUGGGUGAUCUACCUUCGAGUGGGGGAUAACGUUCCGAAAGGAGCGCUAAUACCGCAUGACGUUCUGGGUUUGAAGACCUGGAAACCAAAGUCGGGGACCGCAAGGCCUGACGCUGGGAGAGGAGCCCGCGCCUGAUUAGCUAGUUGGUGAGGUAACGGCUCACCAAGGCAACGAUCAGUAGCCGGCCUGAGAGGGCGGACGGCCACACUGGGACUGAGACACGGCCCAGACUCCUACGGGAGGCAGCAGUGGGGAAUUGUUCGCAAUGGGCGCAAGCCUGACGACGCAACGCCGCGUGGAGGAUGAAGGUCUUCGGAUCGUAAACUCCUGUUGACCGGGAAGAAUGGGCCUCGACUGAAUACGUCGAGGCAAUGACGGUACCGGUUGAGGAAGCCACGGCUAACUCUGUGCCAGCAGCCGCGGUAAUACAGAGGUGGCAAGCGUUGUUCGGAAUUACUGGGCGUAAAGGGCGCGUAGGCGGCCUUCUUAGUCGGACGUGAAAUCCCCAGGCUCAACUUGGGAACUGCGUCCGAUACUGGAUGGCUUGAGUGCGGGAGAGGGAUGUGGAAUUCCAGGUGUAGCGGUGA